CAAAAGAAGGUGAAGAAAAAGUUGAAGAGAAGAAAGAUGGAAAGGAGGAAAAGGAAGGUGAUGAAGAGAAGAAAACUGAGGAAAAUACCCAAGAAAAGAGUGAUGAGAAGAAUGGUGAGGAGGGUGAGAAGGCUGAUGUAGAUGUUGAGGUUGACAAGGGUAUCUCCAUUUGGGGAGUGCCCCUUUUGGCCAGUAAAGGGCAUGAGGGAACUGAUGUGGUUCUCUUGAAAUUUUUAAGGGCUAGGGACUUCAAAGUCAAUGAGGCAUUUGAGAUGCUGAAGAAAACUCUUCAAUGGAGGAAAGAGUUGAACAUUGAUUUGGUUUUGGAUGAAGAUUUAGGGGCUGAUCUUGCAUCUGUUGCAUACAUGAAUGGGGUUGAUCGUGAAGGCCGCCCCAUCUGCUACAACAUUUUUGGAGUUUUGGAUGAUGCGGAGCUCUACAAGAAGACUUUUGGGACUGAGGAGAAGCGCACUCAGUUCUUGAGAUGGAGAGUCCAGCUUAUGGAGAAGGGAAUUCAAAAGCUUGAUUUCAAGCCUGGCGGUGUCAAUUCCUUGCUUCAGAUCAAUGAUCUCAAGAACUCACCCGGGCCAUCCAGGAAGGAAGUUCGUGUUGCUACAAAACAAGCUGUUGCUCUU
Molecule: long non-coding RNA, 635 nt
Filed under: Coffea arabica (coffee)
Lineage: Eukaryota; Viridiplantae; Streptophyta; Magnoliopsida; Gentianales; Rubiaceae
Description: long non-coding RNA (CARA_LNC006524)
Source: RNAcentral